This 309-nucleotide ribosomal RNA is filed under the name Klebsiella pneumoniae. RNAcentral's name for it is "partial 23S ribosomal RNA". It matches the Rfam family "Bacterial large subunit ribosomal RNA", at positions 911 to 1218 of the family's 2925-position model. Lineage: Bacteria; Pseudomonadati; Pseudomonadota; Gammaproteobacteria; Enterobacterales; Enterobacteriaceae. RNAcentral also lists the same sequence under 5 other names. The record is from RNAcentral.
UGUUUCGGCUAGGGGGUCAUCCCGACUUACCAACCCGAUGCAAACUACGAAUACCGAAGAAUGUUAUCACGGGAGACACACGGCGGGUGCUAACGUCCGUCGUGAAGAGGGAAACAACCCAGACCGCCAGCUAAGGUCCCAAAGUCAUGGUUAAGUGGGAAACGAUGUGGGAAGGCACAGACAGCCAGGAUGUUGGCUUAGAAGCAGCCAUCAUUUAAAGAAAGCGUAAUAGCUCACUGGUCGAGUCGGCCUGCGCGGAAGAUGUAACGGGGCUAAACCAUGCACCGAAGCUGCGGCAGCGACACUAUG